Molecule: small nucleolar RNA, 97 nt
Organism: Pistacia vera
Lineage: Eukaryota; Viridiplantae; Streptophyta; Magnoliopsida; Sapindales; Anacardiaceae
Source: RefSeq, a predicted model, not a curated record
CAAAAUCUUAAAAUAAUUUAUAGAGAUUAUUUCAUGUGGCUAAUCUUGAUUGUUGGUUCUUCAAUGCCAUUUAAUCCUAGAAACACCACAUACAUUC